UACAGAGGGUGCAAGCGUUGCUCGGAUUUACUGGGCGUAAAGCGUACGCAGACGGUAAGGUAGGUCGGAUGUGAAAGCCCUGGGCUCAACCCAGGAACUGCAUCCGAAACCCCCUUGCUAGAGUAUGAGAGAGGGAAGCGGAAUUCCUGGUGUAGAGGUGAAAUUCGUAGAUAUCAGGAGGAACAUCAGCGGCGAAGGCGGCUUCCUGGCUCAUUACUGACGUUCAGGUACGAAAGCGUGGGUAGCAAACAGG
RNAcentral lists this ribosomal RNA (253 nucleotides) under uncultured bacterium. Its description in RNAcentral is "partial 16S ribosomal RNA". It matches the Rfam family "Bacterial small subunit ribosomal RNA", at positions 524 to 776 of the family's 1533-position model. The record is from RNAcentral.